This 1154-nucleotide long non-coding RNA is filed under the name Podarcis muralis (Common wall lizard). RNAcentral's name for it is "lncRNA (ENSPMRG00000016219.1)". Lineage: Eukaryota; Metazoa; Chordata; Lepidosauria; Squamata; Lacertidae. The record is from RNAcentral.
AGAGUGCCCCACCAUCUUAGUUAGUGCCUAGUUAGUGCUUUCCCAGCUUUGAGAAGGAGGUGGGAGGACUCUAGGACAAUGCCAGAGCCUUGCACCUCCUUCUCAAUCUCUUUGGGAAGGCAGCGCAAGGGCUGGGGGCUGGAGUGGGCUUGAAAUAUUGGCCUUGCUGCCUCCCCUGUUGUGCAACCAUGUAUUGUCCAGCCUGUGGGUUCUGUGUCAAAGUACUCUUUUCAGACCCAUUUGGUCUGAAAGGUUGGACUGUCCUGAUCUAGUCCAACCCCCUGCAGUGCAGGAAUCUUGCACCCAACAUGGGGCUCAAACCCACAACCAUGAGAUUAAGAGUCUCAUGCUCUACUGAUAGGAGUUGUCCCUAAUUAUUCAAUAUAUAUUGCCUUGCUGUUUUCUUUUUCAAUUGCCUGCUUUUUAGGAGAAUUAUACGACCACUGUCAGUAAAACAAAUAGACAUCUGCAAUGGAACUGGACUUCCGAAAUACCCUUGGAAUGUGUGGCUCAUGCAGUAAGGAUCAGGAGCACGGUGAGGUUUUCUGAAGUUUGGAGCGACUGGAGCCCAUGGAAGAUAGCAGAUGGGAUGGAUGUCGUAAACAUUCGCUGGCAUUUCUUAUGGCCAGAGGGUAAUAAGUUCGUUGAAAUGGGUUCUGACGUCAAGUAUUGCUGCAUUGGGGCGGAAAACAAGAGUGUACCGAAAUUUUAUUUUGGUGAUAAGCAGAUGAACGUUGGACUGCAACGAAGAGUAUUAGUUACUUUGAAAAAUGUUACCCGAUCCAAGAGACUUGGCUACACUAUCCAGUGUGAUUCCGAAAGUGCAUCUCUCUUUGUGACCAACCAGCCUGAUAAACCCAAAGACUUAGCCUGCAAAACAGAAGACAUGAUUAACUUGGAGUGUACCUGGCACCCUAGUGCUAAAUAUACGGAUGCUGAGUUGCUAUGUCCAGCAAGCUUCACCUUGUCUGAUGGGUAAGUUUUCUGAAACCCUGAUCCUGACAGGAGAGUUCCUUAGGAAGUGACAACAGUUAUGCCAGCCAUCAUAGUAUACCUUUUUUUGAGGAAAUGAGUUGUUGACGAAAUGAAUUACAGGGACAGAAAGUGUCCUGGAAGAUGACCAGAGGGUUGGAUCAAAUGGAUUAUUUGCAGAC